This 419-nucleotide ribosomal RNA is filed under the name bacterium. RNAcentral's name for it is "partial 16S ribosomal RNA". It matches the Rfam family "Bacterial small subunit ribosomal RNA", at positions 355 to 776 of the family's 1533-position model. The record is from RNAcentral.
UGGGGGAUAUUGCACAAUGGGCGAAAGCCUGAUGCAGCGACGCCGCGUGGGGGAUGAAGGCCUUCGGGUUGUAAACUUCUUUUGCUCUGAACAAGGCAUGCUAAUGGGUGUGUUGAGUGUAGGGGUUGAUUAGCGCCGGCUAACUACGUGCCAGCAGCCGCGGUAAUACGUAGGGCGCGAGCGUUGUCCGGAAUUAUUGGGCGUAAAGGGCUUGUAGGUGGCUGGUUGCUUCUGUCGUGAAAGCUCAUGGCUUAACUGUGGGUUUGCGGUGGGUACGGGCUGGCUUGAGUGCAGUAGGGGAGGCUGGAAUUCCUGGUGUAGCGGUAGACUGCGCAGAUAUCAGGAGGAAUACCGGUGGCGAAGGCGGGUCUCUGGGCUGUUACUGACACUGAGGAGCGAAAGCAUGGGGAGCGAACAGG